RNAcentral lists this non-coding RNA (117 nucleotides) under Rhodococcus sp. (in: high G+C Gram-positive bacteria). RNAcentral's name for it is "Rhodococcus sp. SAM-IV sequence". It matches the Rfam family "SAM (S-adenosyl methionine) riboswitch aptamer". Rfam says of the family: SAM-IV is a mRNA element that regulates gene expression via direct sensing of S-adenosylmethionine (SAM or AdoMet). SAM-IV riboswitches share conserved nucleotide positions with the previously described SAM-I riboswitches sequence analysis and molecular recognition experiments suggest that SAM-I and SAM-IV riboswitches share similar ligand binding sites, but have different scaffolds. The record is from RNAcentral. Lineage: Bacteria; Bacillati; Actinomycetota; Actinomycetes; Mycobacteriales; Nocardiaceae.
GGUCACGAGUACCAGCAUCAAGCCCCGGCUAGCUGGUCGGCAACCCUCCUCCGCGGUGGGGUGCUCCGGGUGACGACCAGGCUGCGUUCCGAGCACGGAACGCCGCAAGCGCGGAUC